Trichoplusia ni (cabbage looper) is the source of this 1186-nucleotide long non-coding RNA. RefSeq lists it as uncharacterized. The record is from RefSeq and is a predicted model, not a curated record. The transcript has 2 exons. Lineage: Eukaryota; Metazoa; Arthropoda; Insecta; Lepidoptera; Noctuidae.
AACCCAGUUACCUGGGCAAUACGAUACCUCUUAGUUAAACUGGUUGUCAGACUCUCUGGCUUAUUAGCUAGCCAUUACUACCCGAAACGACUGUCAAAGAUGUGCUAAUAGCAGCUUAAGCUGAGACCCACCAUUUAAUGUGCCUUCCGAAACACGGAGAACUUCGGUAUGUCAUAGAUGGUCACCCUUCCACCUUUCGACCGUUUCAAAUGUAGCUUCAUCUGAGAUUGAUCAACAGGUAGACUUGUAUAUAAGGCACAUUUACAUUUAAAUAGUUUUACGAUUUCUUGUAUUGUGAUUUUGGUUAAUGAGUCACUAUGAUAAUACCGAAAAGGUAUUAUAUAAUCAUAGCAAUUCCUAUUAAACGCGUAUAAAAUUAACUGCAUUUUAACGACAAAGUUAUUUAUAAAUUGUAAAUAUAAAUGAUUGAAUCAUUAAAGCCUUUUUAAGAACCUGCGAGACGUGUUGUGUGAUCACUUGUAAUUGUGUUUUCAAAUCGACAACAUGAGGGUAACAAUUGUUAUAUUGUGUGUAUUUUUAAUUGGCCUGCAAAUGUCAGUUGCUUGUCCACCUGGCCAGUACAAUCCGGGUCCUGACUGUGCUUUUGAAGAGAUAUGCCCUCUACCAGCCCACGCGAGCAGAAUGCACUACUGCGACUGCUGGUGCAUCGCUGGCACUGUUCGGGACACAGCCAAUCACAAAUGUGUGAAGAUAGAAGAUUGUACUGUGUAUAGUUUUCCAUAAAAUCAUUUUUGUAUUUUAUUAGUACCAAGGCAUCCUCCGGACCCCCUCGAUACUCGAGACUCGAUAAAAAUAAAGCAAUAUUCAAAAAUGCAAACAACAUGAUUUUCCGCGAAAAAUAAUCUUAGAAUUAGCUUCCCGUGCCACACCUGCAUACAUAAUAAGGAUCAGCAGUUUAUAAUUUUGCAGCAGUUUUAAAAAAAAAGAGUAAUUCACUAAAGCUUGCUAGAAAAUAGUUGUUUUUAAUGACUCCAGAACUACGUAAUAAAAUACAAAGAACACCAGAUUUAGAACAAGUGAGGAUCGAACCUGUGCAUACUGGGUUUAGUGUGAUGCUUACAUAGGCCUCAGUAAAAUAAGAUCGACCUUUCCCGAAAUACUCUGUUUACUAGUAAUACUUUACUACUUAUAAGAACUACCGAAUAAAUGCAUUUACCAAGUUGAA